GACGAACGCUGGCGGCGUGCCUAAUACAUGCAAGUUGAGCGCUGAAGGUUGGUACUUGUACCAACUGGAUGAGCAGCGAACGGGUGAGUAACGCGUGGGGAAUCUGCCUUUGAGCGGGGGACAACAUUUGGAAACGAAUGCUAAUACCGCAUAAAAACUUUAAACACAAGUUUUAAGUUUGAAAGAUGCAAUUGCAUCACUCAAAGAUGAUCCCGCGUUGUAUUAGCUAGUUGGUGAGGUAAAGGCUCACCAAGGCGAUGAUACAUAGCCGACCUGAGAGGGUGAUCGGCCACAUUGGGACUGAGACACGGCCCAAACUCCUACGGGAGGCAGCAGUAGGGAAUCUUCGGCAAUGGACGAAAGUCUGACCGAGCAACGCCGCGUGAGUGAAGAAGGUUUUCGGAUCGUAAAACUCUGUUGGUAGAGAAGAACGUUGGUGAGAGUGGAAAGCUCAUCAAGUGACGGUAACUAACCAGAAAAGGACGGCUAACUACGU
RNAcentral lists this ribosomal RNA (496 nucleotides) under uncultured bacterium. RNAcentral describes it as "partial 16S ribosomal RNA". It matches the Rfam family "Bacterial small subunit ribosomal RNA", at positions 28 to 506 of the family's 1533-position model. The record is from RNAcentral.